GAUGAAGAACGUAGCGAAAUGCGAUACGUAAUGUGAAUUGCAAAUUCAGUGAAUCAUCGAGUCUUUGAACGCACAUUGCGCCCCCUGGUAUUCCGGGGGGCAUGCCUGUCCGAGCGUCAUUGCUGCCCUCAAGCACGGCUUGUGUGUUGGGCCCCGUCCUCCGAUUCCGGGGGACGGGCCCGAAAGGCAGCGGCGGCACCGCGUCCGGUCCUCGAGCGUAUGGGGCUUUGUCACCCGCUCGGGACGGACUCGUCGGCGCUGGUCUUCCUCCAGGCGACCCUUCGGGGCUCGUCUUCCUUCGGUUGACCUCGGAUCAGGUAGGGUUACCCGCUGAACUUAAGCAUAUCAAUAAGCGGAGGA
This 360-nucleotide unclassified non-coding RNA is filed under the name soil metagenome. RNAcentral's name for it is "partial contains 5.8S ribosomal RNA, internal transcribed spacer 2, and large subunit ribosomal RNA". The stretch from base 1 to 119 matches the Rfam family "5.8S ribosomal RNA", at positions 35 to 154 of the family's 154-position model. The record is from RNAcentral.